UACCCAAUUUAAGCGCAACGGUCUGAAUCAACUUGAUUCAGAAAACGAGGUAGAGGUUCCUCGCCGCAGGGCGAGUGCUAACCUACAAACUCCAAGUUGGUGCGUGCGACGAGCGGCUCGAAUAGCCUUCCCGCUGCUGCCCACGGAAACAGGCUUGGCUCAGUUCGUAGGGAAAAGCGAAUAAUCAGCGGAUGCCUCUUGGGUACACCACAGCCCAAAAGGGUGUUGCAAAACUUGUUGGCAACAGCAAGCACAAUCAACACCUUGUGGCCAG
Molecule: non-coding RNA, 274 nt
Filed under: Herpetosiphon aurantiacus
Lineage: Bacteria; Bacillati; Chloroflexota; Chloroflexia; Herpetosiphonales; Herpetosiphonaceae
Description: GlcN6P sequence
Rfam family: glmS glucosamine-6-phosphate activated ribozyme aptamer
About the family: This entry contains a glucosamine-6-phosphate activated ribozyme that is found in the mRNA for GlmS. GlmS is an enzyme that uses fructose-6-phosphate and glutamine to generate glucosamine-6-phosphate. The ribozyme catalyses self cleavage of the glmS mRNA that is thought to regulate GlmS activity.
Source: RNAcentral